Molecule: ribosomal RNA, 271 nt
Filed under: uncultured bacterium
Lineage: Bacteria
Description: partial 16S ribosomal RNA
Rfam family: Bacterial small subunit ribosomal RNA
Source: RNAcentral
UACAGAGACCUCAAGCGUUAUCCGGAUUUAUUGGGCGUAAAGCGUCUGCAGGCGGCGAAGAAAGUUCAUUGUUAAAGCCCUCGGCUCAACCGAGGAAAUGCUAUGAAUACUACUUUGCUAGAGGACAUAAGAGAUCACUAGAACUCAUGGUGUAGGGGUGAAAUCCGUUGAUACCAUGGGGAAUACUAAGGGCGAAGGCAUGUGAUUGGUGUGUUCCUGACGCUCAGAGACGAAAGCGUGGGUCGCGAAUGGGAUUAGAUACCCGAGUAGU